GUGGGGAAUAUUGCACAAUGGGGGAAAUCCUGAUGCAGCGACGCCGCGUGAGUGAAGAAGUAUUUCGGUAUGUAAAGCUCUAUCAGCAGGGAAGAAAAUGACGGUACCUGACUAAGAAGCCCCGGCUAACUACGUGCCAGCAGCCGCGGUAAUACGUAGGGGGCAAGCGUUAUCCGGAUUUACUGGGUGUAAAGGGAGCGUAGACGGCAUGGCAAGUCUGAAGUGAAAUGCGGGGGCUCAACCCCUGAACUGCUUUGGAAACUGUCAGGCUGGAGUGCAGGAGAGGUAAGUGGAAUUCCUGGUGUAGCGGUGAAAUGCGUAGAUAUUAGGAGGAACACCAGUGGCGAAGGCGGCUUACUGGACUGUAACUGACGUUGAGGCUCGAAAGCGUGGGGAGCAAACAGGAUUAGAAACCCCGGUAGUCC
This 425-nucleotide ribosomal RNA is filed under the name uncultured bacterium. RNAcentral's name for it is "partial 16S ribosomal RNA". It matches the Rfam family "Bacterial small subunit ribosomal RNA", at positions 354 to 796 of the family's 1533-position model. The record is from RNAcentral.